UUAGGGAGACCUACCCAACUUUGAAAUCGAAAGCAAACAGUGAAUAGAGACAAAGAUGGUCUACUCUAGGUCGGUCGCAGGAAUAGUUAAGGCUUUCAAACUAUAGAAAGGUUCUCAAUUAUGGGCUAUUAGCUCAGGUGGUUAGAGCGCACCCCUGAUAAGGGUGAGGUCCCUGGUUCGAGUCCAGGAUGGCCCACCUGAAGAUAAUUAGUAAUUACUAAUUCGUAGUUCGUAAUUAAUUACGAAUUAUGCAAUAUGAAUUACGAAUUAUUUUGAUGGGGGUUUAGCUCAGUUGGUAGAGCGCCUGCUUUGCAAGCAGGAUGUCAGCGGUUCGAGUCCGCUAACCUCCACAUUAUCUCUGUAGUGAAAGUAAAAAAAGCAAUAAAAUUGUUUUUGAGACGAAAGCAGAGAAUGUGGUAAGACGAAAGAUUGUGGAUAAAAUCAGCAAUUGACUCUUUGUUUAAAUAGUCAAACUGCUGGAAUAAUUCCAGCCAGAACCUUGAAAACUGUAUAGUAACGCGAUAGAAAGCAGGCAGACACAGGCACGAAUAGUGUUGGUGAAUGCAAGUUGGAAAACCAAUGGAAUAGU
Molecule: transfer RNA, 589 nt
Filed under: Aulosira laxa NIES-50
Lineage: Bacteria; Bacillati; Cyanobacteriota; Cyanophyceae; Nostocales; Fortieaceae
Description: 16S-23S ribosomal RNA intergenic spacer
Rfam family: tRNA (bases 278-350)
Source: RNAcentral